RNAcentral lists this ribosomal RNA (471 nucleotides) under Pseudomonas sp. RNAcentral describes it as "bacterial SSU rRNA". It matches the Rfam family "Bacterial small subunit ribosomal RNA", at positions 9 to 475 of the family's 1533-position model. The record is from RNAcentral. Lineage: Bacteria; Pseudomonadati; Pseudomonadota; Gammaproteobacteria; Pseudomonadales; Pseudomonadaceae.
GAGUUUGAUCCUGGCUCAGAUUGAACGCUGGCGGCAGGCCUAACACAUGCAAGUCGAGCGGAUGAAGGGAGCUUGCUCCUGGAUUCAGCGGCGGACGGGUGAGUAAUGCCUAGGAAUCUGCCUGGUAGUGGGGGAUAACGUUCCGAAAGGAACGCUAAUACCGCAUACGUCCUACGGGAGAAAGCAGGGGACCUUCGGGCCUUGCGCUAUCAGAUGAGCCUAGGUCGGAUUAGCUAGUUGGUGAGGUAAUGGCUCACCAAGGCGACGAUCCGUAACUGGUCUGAGAGGAUGAUCAGUCACACUGGAACUGAGACACGGUCCAGACUCCUACGGGAGGCAGCAGUGGGGAAUAUUGGACAAUGGGCGAAAGCCUGAUCCAGCCAUGCCGCGUGUGUGAAGAAGGUCUUCGGAUUGUAAAGCACUUUAAGUUGGGAGGAAGGGCUGUAGGCUAAUAUCCUGCGGUUUUGACGU